GGAAGGGGCGGCCGGGGGUGGGGGGCAGUUGCUGAUUAGAGUGGGCAGCCAAGCCUCACCCAAGGGAGGCUGCUUCAGCAAAGAUGGAAGGAGGACUUAGGCUGCCCAGGAGCACACGGGGUGCUGAAUGGCGCACAGAGAGCAGAGAAGGGCGGUGUCAGGAGGCCACCCGCCAUCCCAGCGCCCGGUGGCUGUGCUCGGGCCCGGAAGGAGAGCUCAGCUUCUGCAUGUGUUGGGAAGGAACAGCCACCGCGUGAAUGUGAGGAGCGGGGGAGAGGAGUUGGGAAUGCCCCCCACUGCUGUGACCUGAGCCCAGUAGGCUUCAUGCCCACUGUGGAGCCCAACAUGGG
This is a long non-coding RNA of Suricata suricatta (meerkat), 350 nucleotides long. RefSeq lists it as uncharacterized. Lineage: Eukaryota; Metazoa; Chordata; Mammalia; Carnivora; Herpestidae. The record is from RefSeq and is a predicted model, not a curated record. The transcript has 3 exons.